RNAcentral lists this ribosomal RNA (253 nucleotides) under uncultured bacterium. Its description in RNAcentral is "partial 16S ribosomal RNA". It matches the Rfam family "Bacterial small subunit ribosomal RNA", at positions 524 to 776 of the family's 1533-position model. The record is from RNAcentral.
UACGGAGGUGGCAAGCGUUGUUCGGAAUCACUGGGCGUAAAGGGUGCGUAGGCGGGUCUUUAAGUCAGGGGUGAAAUCCUGGAGCUCAACUCCAGAACUGCCUUUGAUACUGAAGAUCUUGAGUUCGGGAGAGGUGAGUGGAACUGCGAGUGUAGAGGUGAAAUUCGUAGAUAUUCGCAAGAACACCAGUGGCGAAGGCGGCUCACUGGCCCGAUACUGACGCUGUGGCACGAAAGCGUGGGGAGCAAACAGG